GGCCAGGUCUAGCCGGCCCUAGGUACGACUUUAAACAUCCAGUAGUUUGUGUGUUAAGGAGAUAGAGAGAGAGAGAGAUAUAUAUUACGGCAUCAUUGCUAUAAGAUUUCUCAAAACAAAAGUGUCAAUCUGUUGAAAUAUAGUAUUUAAAAUAUAUAAAUUUUAUCCAUUAAAAUAUAAGAUUUCUUUUUUAAAAAAAAAAAUCCAGUUCAAUUAGGAAAAAAGCGCCAGGGUCCUUGCAGUUACGCAAGUAUGCCGGGAGAGAGAAAGAAAACCAGUUCCCGGUUUUUUUUUAACCAUUUAAGACGGAGGGAGAAAUUCAACCAUUUUUUAGGUAGAGGAAAUGGAGCAACGACCGUUCUCUUAGAUCAGAUCCAUCUGUUUAAAAGCACUGGCUGUCCUCCCUGCACGCCGUGGGUGACGGUAAGUUUGCCCCAGCACCGUGCUUCAAGUUCCAUCCGGAAAAUACCCCUCGUCAUCUGGCACACGGGUCAGCAAGAUCGUUAACGCCGCAGCCUCCGCCCUGGACGAAGGUCCCUGCGGGCACCGAGGGUCCCCAGUGAAUACUCUGCAAGGCAGCUUUCAAGUAUCAAGUUGAGCUGAUGUUUUUGGAGCCCGAUUACUGGAAAUAACCGGCGAAAAUUAUUGCGCUGUUAACGGAUGAUGGGGAAGGGCGUUAGAAACGCCAAGAGCCCCGAGGGCGGGCCGCCACCGAAGGCCACAUCUGGGCAGACAACACACGCUCCACCGAGCCCAGGCUCCGAGCCAGCCUGCCGUGCCCGACUUCACGCCUUUAAGUGGAAAUUUUUAGUGCAUCGCUCACCUGAGCUUUCUUAGUGGUUCGAACCCGAAGACAGCCAGCUUGGAGCAGGGGCAGGGCAGGCUUGCAUCGCCCCGAGCGCCCGCGCCUGUGCGCCCGCGGGCCGGGAGGGCCGGGCUCCUCUCCCAGCUCUACCGCCAAGCCAUCGGGUGUCUGGGAGAGGAGGGGCGAUGCGUCAGACACCUCGGGAUGCCUCCUCGGGCCGCUCUUGGACACGUAAGGACAGGUCUUGGGUGUGCUGAGAGAUCUCUCAACUGAGCCAGACGUACCUGCAGGGUACGUGUCAGCAAGGAGAACGUCCUUCCCGAAAUCACCCGGCCAGCGUUUCUAGAUUUCCAUGUUAGUGGGAAGAACGUGAAACCCUCUGGCCUCGGGAGAGGCAGGGACCGGGAGAAAAGCUGCGUUUGCUCCCUGGGUCACGGCACCCAGAGCGCGGCUCCCACCUGCUCUACCCGAGCUCUCUGCUGCGUCACUAACAUGAACGUGCAAGUUCCUAUGAGGCUUUUCAGCAAAAUCCUUAUUUUAUGUCUUUCUUCGCUGCGUUUGGCUUUCUACUUAAAGAAAGUAACCUACGAUCUGUACUGCUGGUGCAGACAGUGAGAUACAUUCAUUUACAAGUACUACGGGUGGAUCUGUUUGGUACUUCCUAGCAGGAAUACGGACCAGCCUCCCUCCCCAACAGCCCUCAAGUCAGGUCAUUCGAACGCGCUGACAUCGGUAACAGUCUGACCACCACAGCCAGCUGCAGCGUAAGGAAGAAAACGGGGCAGACAGAGAGGGGAAGACUGUUUCUAGAACAGAAAAAAGCCUACUUUCCGUGAGUAGAGCUCUGAUUUCUCUUGGCAUAUCGAAGCGGCAAGGCAAGGAACGGACGAGGGCCUUAUCCCGUACCCCACGUACUGCUCACACAACCCUCCCAGCCGGGGAACCCAAAUGUCACCAACUGCAUGUAGAGGCGUUGCAGUGUAUUCACGGGGACGACGGACACUUCCUUCAGACCAAUGGACCAGAAAGCUGGAGGAUUUUUUUCUCUCUCUUUUUUUUUUUUUUGUUAAUCUGAAAGGACUCUGGCUUCUCUCUGAACUGGACCUACAAAUGUCUUACCACCAAAAUGAAAAAACAAUUGUUGCGGGUGGAAGUAUGACAAAAAAUAGUUUUCCUAUAAGAUAAUCUGAUAAACCUCAUCGUCCUCUAGAAAGGCAACAUCGUCCACCAGUGCUA
This is a long non-coding RNA of Pygoscelis adeliae (Adelie penguin), 2041 nucleotides long. RefSeq lists it as uncharacterized. The record is from RefSeq and is a predicted model, not a curated record. NCBI's taxonomy places the organism in Eukaryota, Metazoa, Chordata, Aves, Sphenisciformes, Spheniscidae. The transcript is spliced from 2 exons.